CAGAGGAUAGUUUAUAAAACAUUAACUUUGGGAGUUAAAGAUCAAGCUUUUCUUGUCUUCUGA
Molecule: transfer RNA, 63 nt
Filed under: Glycera cf. tridactyla FS19
Lineage: Eukaryota; Metazoa; Annelida; Polychaeta; Phyllodocida; Glyceridae
Description: tRNA-Pro
Source: RNAcentral